RNAcentral lists this unclassified non-coding RNA (334 nucleotides) under Lepraria incana. Its description in RNAcentral is "partial 28S-18S ribosomal RNA intergenic spacer". Lineage: Eukaryota; Fungi; Ascomycota; Lecanoromycetes; Lecanorales; Stereocaulaceae. The record is from RNAcentral.
ACUGAAGCUCGUAGCCGUCUUCGGGCGUGACGGGCGGCUGGUAUCCUCCUUUGGGGGGUGUAUGUCGCAGAGUGGGCCGGCGUUCCGCGUCGCGAAUCCCCACGGACUGCGUACGGACCACCCCCUGGGCAACUCAGUGGAGGCAAUUGGAAGGCCCGUGCGAGUCCCUCUGGCUUCGGCCUUGGGAGUUUCSUGGGCCAGGCGCAUCGGUUUCGGCCGGGCGCCAGACUUCUUAACUCACCCUGACCACCUCCUCGGAGGUUUUCCGGGGCCGUCGUCCUUCGGGGCGGAGGCCUUCCCGGUCAAGAUAGUUACCUGGUUGAUUCUGCCAGUA